GGCUGCCAAAAGGCACAGCUCCUCCCCGCCUGCCUGCUCGCGUGGAUUUCUUUGGGCAGAGCUAUUUCCAGCCUGGUUAUGCCCCUGGUGAUGGAGAGCUUUCGUUUUAGAAUCUACCGAGGGCUGCCGUGAUGUCUCAGCACUGUUGCUGCUGUGUAGGUGCAGCCUGUGAUCGCUGGCAGGAGUGUGUAUUCUCUUCCUUCCAGUGAGUGUUGUACAAGAAUAUAAAUCUAAUGGAAUAAUAGGACCUGCUGGAGGCAAGUUCAUAAACUGCGGGAUGUGUAAUGGAUCACCUCCAGGCUCUGCCAUUAACUCACCACAUACCUUUGCAUCGAGCAGUUCACUGGUUCCUGGAUCUCCCAUGAUUGUAUGUGCAUUGAAGAGAGAAGACUUGCCUGAGCUGAUCUUAAGGUCGGAGCGAUGCCAGAGGAGGUGCUGCCCCAUGCUGUGUAAUACUUUCCAGUGUUUCGACAGCUCUUCCCUCCAGAGGAGGCCAAAGGCUGUGAAGCUGUACCCUAGAGGGGAUGCUCUCUUGCAGACAGCUCAUCCCUUGCACUGCGACUUUGGCUCUGCAAGAGCUCUCCUGCAGCAUUUCUAAAAAGAAGGGCAAACUCUUAGCCUACAAACAGGAGGGGAAUCAACUCUUUGAAAGGGUAGAUAACAGCAGGACAAGGGGAAAUGGUUGGAAGUUAAAGGAGGGAAGAUUGAGGUUGGAUGUCAGGGGGAAUUAAGUUCUUUAUUCAGAGUGGUGAGGUGCUGGAACAGCUGCCCAGAGAGGCUGUGGAUGCCCCGUCCAUCCCUGGAGGUGUUCAAGGCCAGGUUGGAUGGGGCCCUGGGCAGCCUGGGCUGCUAUGAAACGUGGAGGUUGGUGGCCCUGCCUGUGGUGGGGGGUUGGAGCUUCUCGAUCCUUGAGGUCCCUUCCAACCCAAGCCAUGCUGUGAUUCUGUGAUUCUAUGACUCUAUGAUUUGCCCUCGGUGAAGCCAUCCUGGUUUUCCCAUAUCACCUCCCUGCCUUCCAUGUGCCAUGGCAUCACUUCACAGGAGGCUCUGCUCCAUGAUCUUCCCAGCGCAGAAGUGAGACUGACAGGUUGGUAGUUCCUGGUUUUGUACCCUUCUUAAAAAUAGGUGUGGGAGGGAUGUUGCUCCUCCAAUUCCCUCCUGCCAAACCAAACAUUUG
This 1177-nucleotide long non-coding RNA is filed under the name Chrysolophus pictus (golden pheasant). Its description in RNAcentral is "lncRNA (ENSCPIG00010008955.1)". Lineage: Eukaryota; Metazoa; Chordata; Aves; Galliformes; Phasianidae. The record is from RNAcentral.